Molecule: ribosomal RNA, 344 nt
Filed under: uncultured Cryptanaerobacter sp.
Lineage: Bacteria; Bacillati; Bacillota; Clostridia; Eubacteriales; Desulfotomaculaceae
Description: bacterial SSU rRNA
Rfam family: Bacterial small subunit ribosomal RNA
Source: RNAcentral
ACAGGUGCUGCAUGGCUGUCGUCAGCUCGUGUCGUGAGAUGUAGGGUUAAGUCCCGCAACGAGCGCAACCCUUGUCUUUAAUUGCCAUCAUUGAGUUGGGCACUUUAAAGAGAACUGCCGGUGUUAACCGGAGGAAGUGGGAUGACGUCAAGUCAUCAUGCCCCUUAUGUUCUGGGCUACACACGUGCUACAAUGGCCGGUACAGACGGACGCAAAGCCGCGAGGUGGAGCAAAUCCUAAAAGCCGGUCUCAGUUCGGAUUGCAGGCUGCAAUUCGCCUGCAUGAAGUCGGAAUCGCUAGUAAUCGCAGGUCAGCAUACUGCGGUGAAUACGUUCCCGGGCCUU